Molecule: long non-coding RNA, 269 nt
Filed under: Sorghum bicolor (sorghum)
Lineage: Eukaryota; Viridiplantae; Streptophyta; Magnoliopsida; Poales; Poaceae
Description: long non-coding RNA (SBIC_LNC006735)
Source: RNAcentral
ACUCACUGUCCCAAGUACUGUUAUUCUCUCUCUCUAAAAAGAUUCAAUGCAGAAGAGGCAUGGGUUAUGCAAAAAUAUACGAGGAAAUAAAAAGGGGCAAGUGCCCGGAACCUCGGAAAAAGAAAGAAAAAGAGUGAGACGAGAGGUAAAAAUGGACAAGUGUCCGAAGUAGAAUUAGGGGUAUCUACUACCCACCUGAAAAAAAAGAGAGAAAGAUUGCCCAUGUUCUCCCAAAGCAAAGAUCAAAGAAGAUAAGAGAUAGCAAUAUG